UCACAAGUUAGGGUCUCAGGGA
This 22-nucleotide microRNA is filed under the name Branchiostoma floridae (Florida lancelet). Its description in RNAcentral is "bfl-miR-125b". Its record names the gene bfl-miR-125b. RNAcentral also lists the same sequence under 2 other names. The record is from miRBase by way of RNAcentral. Lineage: Eukaryota; Metazoa; Chordata; Leptocardii; Amphioxiformes; Branchiostomatidae.